AGUGGCGGACGGGUGAGUAACGCGUGAGAAUCUGCCUUGGGGUCGGGGACAACCACUGGAAACGGUGGCUAAUACCGGAUAAGCCGAUUGGUGAAAGAUUUAUUGCCCGAAGAGGAGCUCGCGUCUGAUUAGCUAGUUGGUGAGGUAAGAGCUCACCAAGGCAGCGAUCAGUAGCUGGUCUGAGAGGACGAUCAGCCACACUGGGACUGAGACACGGCCCAGACUCCUACGGGAGGCAGCAGUGGGGAAUUUUCCGCAAUGGGCGAAAGCCUGACGGAACAAGACCGCGUGAGGGAGGAAGGCUCUUGGGUUGUAAACCUCUUUUCUCAGGGAAGAAGCUCUGACGGUACCUGAGGAAUCAGCCUCGGCUAACUCCGUGCCAGCAGCCGCGGUAAUACGGAGGAGGCAAGCGUUAUCCGGAAUUAUUGGGCGUAAAGCGUCCGCAGGUGGCGAUUCAAGUCUGCUGUCAAAGCACGGGGCUUAACUCCGUAAAGGCAGUGGAAACUGAAUAGCUAGAGUGCCGUAAGGGUAGAGGGAAUUCCCGGUGUAGCGGUGAAAUGCGUAGAGAUCGGGAAGAACAUCGGUGGCGAAAGCGCUCUACUGGACGGCAACUGACACUCAGGGACGAAAGCUAGGGGAGCGAAUGGGAUUAGAUACCCC
This 660-nucleotide ribosomal RNA is filed under the name uncultured bacterium. RNAcentral describes it as "bacterial SSU rRNA". It matches the Rfam family "Bacterial small subunit ribosomal RNA", at positions 94 to 788 of the family's 1533-position model. The record is from RNAcentral.